This 394-nucleotide ribosomal RNA is filed under the name uncultured bacterium. RNAcentral describes it as "bacterial SSU rRNA". It matches the Rfam family "Bacterial small subunit ribosomal RNA", at positions 775 to 1169 of the family's 1533-position model. The record is from RNAcentral.
GGAUUAGAUACCCGGGUAGUCCACGCCGUAAACGAUGAGUGCUAAGUGUUAGAGGGUUUCCGCCCUUUAGUGCUGAAGUUAACGCAUUAAGCACUCCGCCUGGGGAGUACGGCCGCAAGGCUGAAACUCAAAGGAAUUGACGGGGGCCCGCACAAGCGGUGGAGCAUGUGGUUUAAUUCGAAGCAACGCGAAGAACCUUACCAGGUCUUGACAUCCUCUGAAAACCCUAGAGAUAGGGCUUCUCCUUCGGGAGCAGAGUGACAGGUGGUGCAUGGUUGUCGUCAGCUCGUGUCGUGAGAUGUUGGGUUAAGUCCCGCAACGAGCGCAACCCUUGAUCUUAGUUGCCAUCAUUAAGUUGGGCACUCUAAGGUGACUGCCGGUGACAAACCGGAGG